GAUGUAAGGAGGAGCUCCGGGGGUAGCAAGCAUGGUUAAGCAGAGGAGGAGUCAGCGGAGCAGUUAAUUCCAUCCCUGACAACAUGUCUGCAAAGGUUCCAUGAGCUUUGCAUAAGGCCAGGAGUUCACCUAGAUGACUUUGACAGAACUUUCUGGUUCCAAGAUUCUGCCUUCAUUCCUCGUCUGUAUUUCAAUUGGUGGCCCUUACAGUCUACUUUAAGAUGCAAAUGGUUUGCAAAAGUUAACUCAAUGGUGGUGUUAAAAAAAAUAGAUAACUAGAAGAGUUAUAGAAUAUAGUGACUACAAACACUGGGCUUCUGAAUCAGUCAGACAAGAGGAGUCCGGUCUCAACUGUGUGUUCAUUUUCUGACCUCAGUAGGACAUGUGGCUAAAACCUUCACUUCAACUAUGAAAUCUUCAGAAAUGGUAUUUAAAGCUGUGGUCUUCUCCAGUUUGCUGCUAAAUAUGAACGAAAGCCUUGAAACACAUCAAGCCCUGUGUACCUUCUCCUUUGACAUUCCUCAUUGAGAAAAGAGGUUUGUGGAAGUGGAUUUCGUGGGACACGAUGACUUCUCAGGUUAUGCUCUUUCAUUAUUAAAAACUGAGGAACAGCCUCUGGUUAAAAUAGAAUUGCAAUAUGUGACAGUAGUAAAAGAAGACUCUCAGGUAAAUUGAGAAGUUAGCUAAAAGCGUGCCUUGCUCUUAAAUUUGCAGUAAGUUCUUCUAAAAAAAGCAAUCUGAAGACCCAAAUUUCACAAUUUUUAGGUAUCUAGUUUUCUGUGAGUUCCCAGAAUUGGUAUCUUUUCCCUGAAUCUUUUGAAAUUCCAACACUGUUGCCCUUCACAUUUUGGAAGCUGGAGCGCAGGAAGCCCAACUCCAAGUCUGGGAUAAGGCCUGCGGAGUAUCACUCUUCUCUUAUCAGAACCACUUUGGAAAACUAACUUCCUUCAAUCGUUCCUGGGUUAAAAGAUAACUGACUCUUUGGAGUGGCUGUUGUGCUAAGGUGCUUCCCUAUUCUUGUUCUGGAGUUUUGUGUAACAUGUAGACAACAUCGAAGGAGCACAAACAGAUGGAAAUGUGCACCAGGCAUUCCAUGCACAACGCCUUUAUAUAAAUGGAAAGAAGAAGUUGCAAAACUGCAUCAAUUUGCGUAAAAGCUGAUCCAUUAAUAACUUUGCCAAUCAGGUUGAGGUCAUGUAUUCAAUUAGUUCCAUUAUAAUGAGGAUUCUUUCUACUGGAAAUCUGAUUCUCACCUAUCCUGAAAAUGAAAUCAGCCAAUCUUGGGAAUUAGUGGUGUCAUGAGCAAUUAGAUUAACAUGUUUGUAUUCUGCAACAAAAACAUUGGGAGAAAGAAUGCUUUGUAAAACAUUACAAUUAUAUUAAAUUUGAUUAAAUUGUAGAACCAAUACCUGAAGUGUUGUUCCUAUCCUUACAAUCCAGUCUAAAAGCUUUACACUGUAGAAGAUAUUUGUAGUUAGAUGAAUAUAUGUUUACUAAUGUCUAGCAGAGAUUUUUUUGUUUGUCUUUCUUCCUUUUUUAUUUUUUGGUAAACAAAAUGUAUUUCUUUCCCUAGGCUCUAGCUGUAAAUUAGCAUUUGAAUUCAAAUGACAGCAUGUUCCUUUUCUUUUCCUGUACAAUUCUUGUCACAAUGUGCUGUUUUUAAUGGCAAAUCAGCUAAUUAAAGACAGUGUGGUGUGGAAAAUGAAUGGAGUUAAUUGAAUUAGUAUUAAAACACUUAGUAAUUAAUCACUUCUUGCAUAGUUAUUAUUCAGAGCUUAAAAUUGUUGGCAAAGCUUAUUCUUAUCCA
This 1807-nucleotide long non-coding RNA is filed under the name Equus caballus (horse). Its description in RNAcentral is "lncRNA (ENSECAG00000046295.1)". The record is from RNAcentral. Lineage: Eukaryota; Metazoa; Chordata; Mammalia; Perissodactyla; Equidae.